AGAGUUUGAUCCUGGCUCAGGAUGAACGCUGGCGGUCUGCUUAACACAUGCAAGUCGAACGGAGUACUUCGGUACUUAGUGGCGGACGGGUGAGUAACGCGUGAGGAUCUGCCCUCAGGAGGGGGACAACGACUGGAAACGGUCGCUAAUACCCCAUAUGCCGAGAGGUGAAAUGUUUUUUCGCCUGAGGAUGAGCUCGCGUCAGAUUAGCUAGUUGGUGGGGUAACGGCCUACCAAGGCGACGAUCUGUAGCUGGUCUGAGAGGAUGAUCAGCCACACUGGGACUGAGACACGGCCCAGACUCCUACGGGAGGCAGCAGUGGGGAAUUUUCCGCAAUGGGCGAAAGCCUGACGGAGCAAGACCGCGUGAGGGAUGACGGCCUAAUGGUUGUAAACCUCUUUUCUCUGGGAAGAUAAUGACGGUACCAGAGGAAUAAGCCUCGGCUAACUCCGUGCCAGCAGCCGCGGUAAUACGGAGGAGGCAAGCGUUAUCCGGAAUUAUUGGGCGUAAAGCGUCCGUAGGUGGUUAAUCAAGUCAGCUGUUAAAGAGCGGAGCUCAACUCCGUUAGAGCGGUUGAAACUGAUUGACUAGAGUUUGGUAGGGGUCGAGGGAAUUCCCAGUGUAGCGGUGAAAUGCGUAGAUAUUGGGAAGAACACCGGUGGCGAAAGCGCUCGACUGGGCCUGAACUGACACUGAGGGACGAAAGCUAGGGGAGCGAAAGGGAUUAGAUACCCCUGUAGUCCUAGCCGUAAACGAUGAACUACUUCUUAAAUCAACCGUG
This 782-nucleotide ribosomal RNA is filed under the name uncultured Antarctic cyanobacterium. RNAcentral describes it as "bacterial SSU rRNA". It matches the Rfam family "Bacterial small subunit ribosomal RNA", at positions 8 to 837 of the family's 1533-position model. The record is from RNAcentral. Lineage: Bacteria; Bacillati; Cyanobacteriota.